GUGCCUGAUUAACACUGACUUUGUGUCUCUUCAGUAUAUAUUGAUCAUGUAUUGAUUAAUCUUUAAUUUUUUUUAUAUUUCAGUCAGAUAAGUUCCUAUGUAUAUAAUGGAGUACUUCUCGUUUGAACUACACUAUAAUAUCUGCAUGAUUAUACAGUAGGGAAAAGAAAGAAAGAACUAUAAUAGGCCUAGUAAAUGUUUUUUGUUGAUUAUCCUGCCACUCUCGCAGAUGCUACACAUUGCCACCACACAUACAUACUUUCAUGAGACAGAUUAUCUGAUUUGGUCAUUAUCUAUCUAGUUCCCAUUCUUAACUCUUCAGGUUUUUCAAUUACAGCAUAGUGUAUUCUUUUUACCUCACUGUUGAUUAGCAUCUCUUACAGAAGGUGGUCAAGGGAAGUAAAACAAUUAAAGGUAAAACUCAGUUUUCAGUUUAUUCUUGAAAGCUCUGGAGAAAUAGGAAAACAGAGACGAUGAGGUAAGCUAGAACUGUUGAUUCCUGAAUCCCAGACCAUUCAGUUGGCCUGUAUUUUAUGUCUUGCUUUAUUGUGAGGUUUAGGGCAAAACCUUACAGUGCCACAUUUGCAAUG
Molecule: long non-coding RNA, 590 nt
Filed under: Bos taurus (domestic cattle)
Lineage: Eukaryota; Metazoa; Chordata; Mammalia; Artiodactyla; Bovidae
Description: long non-coding RNA NONBTAT011381
Source: RNAcentral